CCUACGGGAGGCUGCAGUGGGGAAUAUUGGACAAUGGGCGAAAGCCUGAUCCAGCCAUGCCGCGUGUGUGAAGAAGGCCUUCGGGUUGUAAAGCACUUUCAGUGGGGAAGAAAGCCUUGGGGCUAAUACCCUCGAGGAAGGACAUCACCCACAGAAGAAGCACCGGCUAACUCCGUGCCAGCAGCCGCGGUAAUACGGAGGGUGCGAGCGUUAACCGGAAUUACUGGGCGUAAAGCGCGCGUAGGCGGUCUGAUAAGCCGGUUGUGAAAGCCCCGGGCUCAACCUGGGAACGGCAUCCGGAACUGUCAGGCUAGAGUGCAGGAGAGGAAGGUAGAAUUCCCGGUGUAGCGGUGAAAUGCGUAGAGAUCGGGAGGAAUACCAGUGGCGAAGGCGGCCUUCUGGACUGACACUGACGCUGAGGUGCGAAAGCGUGGGUAGCAAACAGGAUUAGAUACCCCAGUAGUC
Molecule: ribosomal RNA, 465 nt
Filed under: Vreelandella stevensii
Lineage: Bacteria; Pseudomonadati; Pseudomonadota; Gammaproteobacteria; Oceanospirillales; Halomonadaceae
Description: partial 16S ribosomal RNA
Rfam family: Bacterial small subunit ribosomal RNA
Source: RNAcentral